GCCUAGCCCUAAACCUUGGUAAUAUAUCACAUACCCUACCCGCCUGGGAACUACGAGCACCAGCUUAAAACCCAAAGGACUUGGCGGUGCUUUAGACCCCCCUAGAGGAGCCUGUUCUAGAACCGAUAACCCCCGUUCAACCUCACCCUUCCUUGUUUAUCCCGCCUAUAUACCGCCGUCGUCAGCUUACCCUGUGAAGGCCUAAAAGUAAGCACAACUGGCACAACCCAAAACGUCAGGUCGAGGUGUAGCGCAUGGAGGGGGAAGAAAUGGGCUACAUUCCCUAUGUUAGGGAACACGAACGGCGCACUGAAACACGCGCCUGAAGGAGGAUUUAGUAGUAAGCGGAAAAUAGCGUGUUCCACUGAAAUCGGCCCUGAAGCGCGC
This 387-nucleotide ribosomal RNA is filed under the name Sebastes cortezi (Cortez rockfish). RNAcentral's name for it is "partial 12S ribosomal RNA". It matches the Rfam family "Bacterial small subunit ribosomal RNA", at positions 794 to 1384 of the family's 1533-position model. The record is from RNAcentral. RNAcentral also lists the same sequence under 3 other names. Lineage: Eukaryota; Metazoa; Chordata; Actinopteri; Perciformes; Sebastidae.